RNAcentral lists this transfer RNA (73 nucleotides) under Coleofasciculus chthonoplastes PCC 7420. RNAcentral describes it as "Microcoleus chthonoplastes PCC 7420 tRNA". It matches the Rfam family "tRNA". Rfam says of the family: Transfer RNA (tRNA) molecules are approximately 80 nucleotides in length. Their secondary structure includes four short double-helical elements and three loops (D, anti-codon, and T loops). Lineage: Bacteria; Bacillati; Cyanobacteriota; Cyanophyceae; Coleofasciculales; Coleofasciculaceae. The record is from Rfam by way of RNAcentral.
GGCUCCAUCGUCUAGGGGACAAGGAUCUCUGAUUUUCGCUCAGAAGACACGGGUUCAAAUCCCGUUGGGGCUA